RNAcentral lists this long non-coding RNA (821 nucleotides) under Gossypium raimondii (Peruvian cotton). Its description in RNAcentral is "long non-coding RNA (GRAI_LNC009698)". The record is from RNAcentral. Lineage: Eukaryota; Viridiplantae; Streptophyta; Magnoliopsida; Malvales; Malvaceae.
AUUCAGCCACUGUUUAAAAAAAAAUUUCAGAAACCUCUCCUUUCCUCUCCAAAAAUGGCCGGCCUUUGGGUAGCCAUAACGCCGCCACGCCACCGGUGCGCCCGCCGCACCGCCACCGUCUCCGACGGCCGACGAAGAUCGGCUUUUGAAGCCCUAUUUCCGGUAAGUUUUUCUUUUUCUAUCCCUUUUUUAUAUUUUUAUACAUGAAAUAAAAUAAAACAAAAUAAAAGAUUGAAAUCGAAGAAAGAAAAAGAAAGAAUAAUAAAGAAAAUAAAAAAAAUCACAAUCACCUUGAAACGUUGUUUUCUUUUAUUUCUUUUAAAACUUUUGUACAAAAAUUCAAAAAAAAAAAAGGCCCCCAUUACACAUCUGUUGAAUGGCUUUAUAUAGCCUUUUUCAUUACAAAUCCCCCCACUUGCUACUGCUAUGGUUUUUCUUUAUUGUUUGUAGGUGAAGCAGGUGGCGACGUGACGUGCAGCUUGGCGCGGCGGUGGCAGGAGGUCAGGGGUCAGAAGACCCUAGACCCUUUUUUUUUUGCUUUGGGUCGUUUGGGCCAUGGGAAAUUGGGCUAGACAUUGGGCUUUGGCAUGUAAUUGGGGUUUGGGUUGUAUUUGGGUUUGCCUGGGCCUUGUAAUUGGGCCUGCCUGGGCCCAGGGCGAAAUUGGGCUGUACACUGUUAUUAUGGGACUGAACCAAUUUAAAGAAUAAAAGUAGACAUGUCUUAAAUUGAUAACAUACAAUUAUAUCCUACUAUUUUCUAGAGCAUACAUAACUUUAGAUAUUUUUUUCUUCUAUAUACUUAUGGAAGGUUUGAACAUGGG